Long non-coding RNA from Daphnia magna, 782 nucleotides. RefSeq lists it as uncharacterized. The record is from RefSeq and is a predicted model, not a curated record. The transcript has 4 exons. Lineage: Eukaryota; Metazoa; Arthropoda; Branchiopoda; Diplostraca; Daphniidae.
UUUUCAGCUUUAUCAGCUUCGCAUCCACUGCUUUCAGGACAUGGAAAUGACAUAGGAUGUGUGUUGCGCUGGUGAAAUAUUUUGCAAGAGCAGCGAUCUCUGCGCAGUCCUUAUCCGUAACCGUUACAGUUGUAACGGAAACAUCAUUGUUCUGCAAAAAAAAAGUUGCAGGCAUGUUGCAAUUGAUUCCACAGUUUCUUCCUUCAUGAAGAACAUCGCGACAGGCUACCCGUCGCCAUUGUUAUCCUCUAUUAAAAGAUGAUAAAGGGAAAAGCCAGCCUUGGUGGUUUUGUCCAUCAGAUAAUCAACGGUAUCUCUCCAUUCAUUAUCUGACUUCCCUGUCAAUGCCUGUUUGAUUUUGAUCAGGUCUUUACUGAUGAGAUGGCUGCCAAAUUUAUCUGGCAACAGCUUUCUCACUUUAGUGGGUUGAGCACCGACGGAAAGAGUAGCUUCUGCAAAGGCAACAGCCUCAGAGACGUGCUCAGCGGAAACGGGGUGGUUCUGGUGGACAACUUCCAAUGAGGCAACAUAAAUUUUUUCCUGCCUGGAACAGAACGUGAAUUGUACUUUUACUGGACAAAUUUGGGGCAUCACAUUUUGAUUGAGUCUAUCCUUUGUCUUGGAGCGAUCCCGAUGUAUCCCGUAAUGCGGGCAAACAUACGUAAGUCUUUUAAACAACCACUUUUCAUCAAUCUUAUUCUUAUUGUUAAUGUCUUUGUUAUAACUCACAACACUCUGAAUAGGUUUAUCACGGCGCAAAUACACACUAUCUUCCACCUCGA